Corythoichthys intestinalis (scribbled pipefish) is the source of this 7096-nucleotide long non-coding RNA. RefSeq lists it as uncharacterized. The record is from RefSeq and is a predicted model, not a curated record. The transcript is spliced from 4 exons. NCBI's taxonomy places the organism in Eukaryota, Metazoa, Chordata, Actinopteri, Syngnathiformes, Syngnathidae.
UAUUUAUUUAAUUGUGUAUUUAUUUAUUGAAUUUUUGCACUCCUGGUCCUCCAUAAAUCAUGGGUAUCAAUGCGUAAAACUAGUGGUCCAAUGCUUUUUUGCGUCGGCGCCGUUCGGUAAGUCAACAUUGUUUGUUUUAAAAACCAAACCGUCCUUAAAUCCGUCAAGAAUUCAGCGGGGUGAAGACUAUUUCAGUGGAGAAACCCCCAACCGAUGCAACCAUGGCAACACAGCUGUCACCGACGUGCGGAACCUUACCUACGCUGCAACGGCGCUACCGGACAAUAUGGCUGCGAUUAGCUUGACCAAAUUUUCAUCCACCACUGUGUGGUGACAGGAUGUGUGACAACAGAAAAGGUAAGCCUUAAUAUCAGUAGUAUCCUGUGACAACAGAAAAGGUAAGCCUUAAUAUCAGUAGGGAGUUUAGCUAUGUAUAUAUACAGAAAAAGAUACAAAAAUAAUAAUAUCAGUGGGGGGAUUCGCGGUUCUAAGCUAGCAAGCUAAUUAGCAGGAUAUGUUAGCAAAAAGUACAAGCAUUGUUUAACCUCUUAAAGCAUCGGUGUCCCCCUAACUGUUCAAUAAGCUUCACGCGGAAAGAAAAUGUAUCGUCACAUUUAUAAAAAUAAUAACAUCAGUGGGAAGAUUAGCGUUUCGAUACUAGCACGCUAAAUAGCAGGAAAACAUAGCAAAAAGUAUAAACAUUGUCCAACUUCUUAAAGCAUCGGUGCCCCCUCACUGUUAAACAAGCUACACGAGGAAACAAAAUGUAUCGUCACAUUAGUCAAAUCCAGCUAAAUUCACAUUACUUUUUGAAUCAUUUUAAUCACUGGGAAAUGGACUAGCAUCUUUGUUCACGUUUUAAUGUUAAAUAACGCCCCAAAUUACGUUAAGUCAAACAUGUCAGUUUGAUAUGUUGGGCUGUCAAUUUUACUAAUUGUAUUAAUGUUCUGCAUUUAGCAUUGGUGUGUUAUGCGAGAGCAACACAGAGAACAAGAUGAAGAGAAAGCAGACCUUCUUCAGAAAAUGAGUAGUAUGGAAGAAGAAGCCAGCUGAGCUGCAGGCAGGCAGGCAGACAGAAAGGGUGAGCAGAUAGAUGAGACAGAUUCAGAGAAUGAAGGAGUGGAGUGGUCCCAAGUCAGCCUCCAGUUGUUUCACAGAGAGUCCAGCAGACAGCCUUGGAGAGUGUGAGUGAACAGCUCCCCCAUACCAGGACCAUCCAGAUGUCACUGAAAGCAGCAGGCAGACUCUGAGAAUGACGGAGAGGAGCUCCCACUACCCUGUGGACAAAUAGGACCUCCAGAGAUAUCCAAAUUGAGAGCUGAUGGACCUGUCCAGCAACAUCUGAAGCUCCUUCCUAGAACACUCCAGGGCCACAGGAGGAGAAACUUUCAAGCCUCAUGGUGCCAUAAAUAUUUCUUUUUUUCCAAUGAGAUUGUGCCACCCCAAAAUGAUCACAUAACCAUCCUGGCCACCCCACCAAAAAUUUCCUGGCUCCGCCACUGUCGACCCAUCUCGUUGAAUGUGUGAAGCGAUAUUCAUUCUAUAGAUACUUGCAAAAAUGUCUUUUAAAAAAAAUACCUAAAAAAAUAGAUAUACACCUAGCGCGGGGAUCGGCAACCUGUGUUUUGAGAGCCGAAUGUGGCUCUUUAGCGCUGCCCUGGUGGCUCCCUGCAGCAUUUUCAAAAAUGUUUGAAAAUGGACAAAGAUGGUUGAUAUGGUUUCUGUAGGAAGACAAAAAUGACACAAAACAUUCUUAACGUUUUCCAAUGCUGAAAAUGCAGAAAAAUAUUAAAUUUCAACAUUUCAAGAUUUGCGUCAUAGCCUGCGACACACGUUUCUAUCAGCAGGGCGCGAUGCCAGGCAGAUGGCUAUUGUAAACAAGCCACAACGCCUGUUGGCAGCCGAGUACCUAAUUGUGAGUGAGAGAAAAACUGCAAUUCCAUUACUUCUGAGGAACUUAGGCUAGGUUCAUACCGCUGGUCUUAAUGCACGAAUCUGAUUUUUUCCUCUGUUUUUCCGACUCGAGUGAGACACUAACUUGACGGUCUGAACGGGAAAAGUCGCAUAGAAGUGGACCAUUUCAAAUCCGGUCUCGGUAUGUGGUUUAAAUCCGUUUUGGGCCACAUUUCUCCAGAAUUUGGCAGGCGGUCUGAACUCUCACGUCUCCCGAAUUAGAAUACAUGCAACAAUUACUGUAUGUCAGCAAAGCGCGAGAGGGACUGGGCUCUACGGUAGCGGUGCAGCUGUGCGUAAGCGCCUAGCUUGCCUUGAACACUGCUUUUGGGGAAGGGUCGGGCUUGACAACAGUCAUAAAAACAUAAAAUGCGUUGAGGAUAAGCCUGAGAGUGCUCGGUUUUCUUUCUGCUCCAUAUGAGCAAUAUUUCAAGAUUGCUUACACGGCCGAGAGUCGGGGCAAACUGUCCGUAUGCGAGUGCGUCAUGCGCGGACAGUGCGUGCAUUCUAUCGAUCCAUUUUAACUAUGAAUAUACGACUAAACGGGGCUUAUUUAUGUCUGUUACUUGUGUCCUCUUUUUGGAAAUCAAAAUAUGAUCACCUUUGAAUGACGUUGAGCCAGCAUGUGUGGUCAUUUGUUUUGAUGCUUCUGCGCAGACUUCAAAAACAAAACCGAGAUAAUAAAGGAAAUCAAAGACAUGCCCAGAUCAGGGGCAUGUUAUGCACGUUCCAUUUUGUUUUUCGUAACUUCAAAAUAAAAACGACAUCAAAAAUCGGAUUUCUUUAUUGCAUUUCUUUAAUUUCAUAAAAGCAAUGAAACCAUUCAUUAAUAUUGUAAUGAAGUUAAACUUGAGGUGGUAUCUUACAACAGAGUAGUCAUGUGGUGUGCUGGAUGCACUGUAGGGAAAAUAAACAUUAAAUCAUGAAGGCUCAUUAUUUAUAUUUUUUUGCAUUCCUAGUCAUUUUGAUAGUAGGCGAAUAUAGCUAAUACAGAUAGGCUUAUUUAAGGCUUUUAAUUGUUUGCGGCUCAAACAUUUUUUAAAUAAAAAAAAAAAAAAAAAUUUGGGGGGGUCCAAUAUGGUUCUUUCAACAUUUUGGGUUGCCGACCCCUGAUUUAGUGUAAAACGGGAUUGACUUGCAUAAACCCUCCUGUCCUACACAACAUUGGCCAAUAGAGGUCGUUUAAGGGUUUUAUUAAACCGUUUUUUGCUUGAAGUUGUACACAACCUCUCAUAGCUGUUCCCUUUGGCAGAGUACAUAUUGAUAGAAAAUAGUGUCUGUAUAUAGAUUAUUUGAACAUUUCUGUCAUUUUUGGUGGAAGUUGACACAAACAAAUACGGAGAAAUCCAUCAUCUCCAAAUUAUUAGCUAUGACUGUAUUCAUGCAAACACACUAAAAGCAGCUGUGUGAGAAAGUUUUCGAACCUUUCACUGCCAUCAAAUCACGAGCUUUAUUCAUCCUUCUGCUGCCCCCCCAAUAUGCUAACAGUGUUGCGUGCAGCCUGAGGGACACAAACCAAUUAAUUCUUCAAAUAUUUUAUUAAAACAAAUGUUUCCAUAGUUACAAGAGACAACGAUAAAACAUAACACUCUUAAAAAUGAUUUUUUUUUUCUUUUUAAACUCUGAUUCAAUUCGUUGAAAGAAAAAUGGCUUUUUAAGAGGUACUCCAGAUAUGUUGGCCAUUUAAAAUAACUGCUUUGCUUUGUUUUAGGAAGACAUUUCAGGAGGCAAGUACGUUUACUCAGGAACACCAGUUUUUAAGCAUUGUUGUAUUUGGAUUAUUUAAAAUAAAGAAUAUUCCUGCAAUGACCCGUACAUUCGGAAUAAGUUUUCACAUAGGUAAGCAAAGACUUUUAGCAAUAUAGCAUUAGCCUGGCAUACCAGCCAGACUCGAACGCAAACUUUCCAAUAGACGUUUCGCAUUUGUUCUGACAAUACACCGCAUAAUCAAAUUAAUUGUACUUUUCGUAAUGUAGUUUCCAAUUGCCAAUCUCGCUAUCCAAUGUGCCUGAAAAAAAAGGAGCACUUGUCGCUCUUCCUGAAGUCCAGAGCAUUUGAAAUGGGAUGGCUCCCUCCCAAUUCAAACAGACUGACGUUCAGCACCGUCAAUGGCAGCCAAAUAAUAAAGCAGUGUCUAACCAAGCUAAAAUAGCAGUGACUUUACAUUUGAGUGUGCGUUAAUUUAGUAUUGGGGGGGGGGGGUGUAUGUCUAAAAAAUAAAGUGGUAUCAGUACAGAAUACACAGGCGUUAGAAUCAGUAAAUCAAGAAAAAUGCUAUAUUUGCAAGACUUAUUACAGACAGCGCAAGUGGCAUUAUGUUUUCAUCAUAUUCGUGCCCACAAGUCGUUCUUUCAGAUUCAUUUUGAAAUCCAACCCAAAACGCAAACGAGACUGACUUGGCAUGUAGCUGGUAUACAUAGCCCAAGUCAGGCUGGCUUGCCUGGCAAAUAUGGCAAAUAUGUGACAUUAGAGCAAAUUUAAAGCGCAUCAGUAUAAAUGUGGCAUGAAACACUGGUUGGGAAUCACUGAUCCAAACUAUGACAAACCCAAAUUUCAAAAUAAUUUUAAGGCAAAUAGCGAGAUCAUUGCAACCGCAUAUAUUCAAUAAAUAUUGGUACAUGUUAUGAGUACUACUUUUAUCAUUUUUAGCCAGGCCCGUUUUCUUUGUAAUGUGUAUUACUGUAUAUAGUUGGACGUCAGCAUGUAGAAGGGGAGAAAAAAAAAAAAAAGCUCUUGAUGUGACUCGUCCGAGCUGGCGACUCAGACCACCGGGCUGGAAGGGUUGGAGGAAAGCACGCUCCACGGAUCGUGAGCCGGGGGCUGGCGGAGUAACUCUCGAGACGAAUUGGCACCCUCGUCCCAGGACUCGGCAUCGUCCUCGGGCAAGGGUCGGGAGUCGGAGCCCUCCCGUUGCUGCUGCUGCGGCCGAUUGCGCUUCUCCCGGUGAAGCAGGAGGCGCUCCAAAGGAACCGAGCUGCUCUUGGGCAGAAAGAGGGCGGUGGGCGGCACGUUGUGCCCGGCCGCAAAGACCUGGCGGGAGCCCUCCAGGUUGAGUAGGAUGCCAGUGCGGACCGAGUAGAAGACGUCGCGGUUGUUCUCCAGGAGUCGGUGCUCGAACACGCAGUCGUCACGCAAACAAACUGCCUGCAUGCAACACAUUUUUUGGGUUUGUUUUUAAUUUCCAUUUCUUGAUUGUGUCUUGCUCAUUUUCAUGUGAUGCAUUACUUUGUACUGAAGAAAUAAAUUGGCAAUGACUAAAAAAGAUAAAAAGUUUUGCCAUGUAUACUCACUGAAGUGAAUGGGGUUCCGUUGAGGUCCAAACAUAAGUAACGGCUGCUUUUGACGCCAAGGAUGGCGACGCGCUCCCUGGUGUCCGCCUUGAGCAUGACGACGCCUGCGAAAGCGCGACAACAUCAGCAUCAUCAGCGUCAACGGACAAAUACGGAAAAUGCGGACGAGCGCCACAGCGUACUGUAGGGAUUCCUGCUGGUGCUUCUCCGCACGCUUCCGUCCAGCUUGAUCUCCAGGUAAAAGUUGCUGAGCUCGGUGGAAGUUUGCAGAUGGACGUACCUCCGUGGGCUGCCCCAGUUGGAGCUCGCCAGGGGCGACGGAUUGGGCGCCGCGUAGCCGAUGGGGACGCCCUGCAAGACUGCGAGGAGGAACGCCAGCGUCCGCGUCCGUGUCGCCGCGGUUCUCGGGCGGGGCGGGUGCGUGGCGGUGGCCUCCUCCAUCCCGGACAACAGAGCUGUCGUCUACGAGGAGGAUUACGGACUGGGACUCUAUUUAAGGACCCCCGCUGCAGGCACGCAGACAGGCGGCCACCCCUGCUCGCUCGCAUCCGUCCACCAACGCAGAUGUGCGGCUUUGCAGCGGCGGAAGGGCCACUUCCACCUGGGCGUGUUUAGACCCACUUGUUGUUGAUGCUCGUUAUUUUGGGAUACAUCCGUCCGUGAGGAAAUGGCUAAAUUGGCAAAACAUUUCAACUAACAAGUUGCUGUUUUCCAAAAAGGAUAUAUGCGACGCACCUGCCCUAUAUUCUGGAGCCUUUUAGCCAGCAGAGGGCGCCAGUCCUAAACUCAAAAACUUGCAGAAAAGUCAAAUUGAAGACAUUUCGAAUUCAAAUAAACGACCAAAGUUUCUCUUAAAAUUUCAUAGCUCUUUCCAACAACUUGUAAAUGUUUGAAAGGAGAACGUAACGUGAGUACUCAGGUACUUGAAAAUUGUUUUAUUGAGAUAUUUGAGGAGUGGACGACGUACAAAAAUAAAAAGACUUCAACUUGCUUUGGAGACAGUCUUUCUAUUCAUUUUUUUUAACGACUGUCAAACUAAGGCAGCAGGUGAAGGCGUUCAUUCAAACAGUAGCGUGGAUAUUUGGCUGAGGAAACCUUUUUUAUUAUUAAUUACACUAAUCAAUAUGGAUGGCAGAACUAUAUUUGGUGGAGGUUGUUUUGCGAGAACAUUCAACUCUUUAAGUGUCGUUGACUAUGUGUCUUUGUGAAUUGAAAUGAGUGUCACGAGUAGAUGUUCGAUGAUCCAUUUGAAAUGGGAUGGGGCCCCUCCAAGUUCAAAUGGACUGGCGGUCCAUCGCUGUCAAUUGUAAGAGUGAAGGACAAUUUGUAAAUGGCUUGUCAUAGUUAUUGCAAAUGCAACUUCAGAUUUGACUAUUCAAGAGCAAAAACUAUCUCAUGACCUUGCCAUUUUUGCUGCAUCGUCCUCUACUGCAUGCGACCUGCUUUUUGUGAACUGCAUUGAAAACUGAGAAAGGCUGCUACUGCAGUACACGCUCACGCACACUGGGAAAAAGGCCAAAGGCUCACGUCAACAACAUCUUAUAGAAAAGCUCCUGAUUUUUUUUUGUACUUUGCACUAUUUGUUUGCAUUUUUCAUAACAUGCAGCAGCUUUCUUGUGCGCUUAACAUUAGCAGCUAAACUUGCAUACAGUGGAACCCUUAGUGUCCAAUACAGAAGCAUCGAAGAUUUGACUUCGGAGGCGCCACACUACAACUGUAUGAGGUCUCCGUUUUAUUGCGCAGAAAACAACGAUGAACUGUGUUAAUUUAAGAAAAGUGAAUCUCAAAAAUGAAAAAUUAUUGAGGAUUUUCCAGUUUCUAUUUUCAAUUUGAUUUUCUAUACAUUUGAUUUU